This 66-nucleotide microRNA precursor is filed under the name Drosophila mojavensis. Its description in RNAcentral is "microRNA dmo-mir-313 precursor". Its record names the gene dmo-mir-313. It matches the Rfam family "mir-310 microRNA precursor family", at positions 5 to 70 of the family's 74-position model. Lineage: Eukaryota; Metazoa; Arthropoda; Insecta; Diptera; Drosophilidae. The record is from miRBase by way of RNAcentral.
UUUCCGGUUGUGAAUUGUGUCAAUUCUUUUUAUUUUACAAGUAUUGCACUUUUCACGGCCGGAAAA